UGAAAUUGUGAGUAUGGUUCAGAAUUCGUUCAGUUCCGUGUGAAGAAGGGUCGAUUGGGUCAUAAUCAUACCGAUCGUGUCCAAAAGUAAAUAUUAUAGUAUCUAUUAAAUAUUUUAUUAAAAUUUAAUUAUUAAUUUUGAUCAAUUUUAAGGUGGCGUUUAUAAACAUUCCAACGCAUCAUUUUUAUUCUCCCUACGCAACAAAGACAACCUUGCUCCAUUUAUUGCCAACAUCAAGCAAGGUCAGGAGCAGGAUGCAAUCUACUGUCGCUCUGCUUAUGGACCAACCUUUGGUGGAGGUAAUGAUCUGUACAUUUCUAACAAUGCACAAGUUAAUCAAUCACACAGUUACUUUGGAUACACAUACCAACUUCCUCCUGGUUAUGUCGAUUGCGGUGAACAAGCAAAGAGCCUUCUUGCUGGUCAGUACCAAUUCUUAACGACAGAAAUUCUUCAGUCUUCAACUGAAAAGUGCCUUUGUUUACUUACUUCAACGAAAAAUAACAUUACAUUGAUUAUACGACCGGUCUUAGAUGCAAUCACUUUUGGACAGUGAUUUUGCGAUGUUAUAAAGUAUUAAGAAUUAAUAUGAAUAUUCUGAGUCAUGCACUGUAGGAAUUUAAAAAUUAAAAUUGGUCGUUUGCCUCAACAGUAGCGGUUACUGGAGUCAACAAAUGAAAGGCGUUGAAGAAAACUUGUGAAAAACCGAUUGUUAUACAGCCGACGGUAUAACCAAUUAUCUAAUCAACAUAUAGCCUAGGUAAAUGUUCGAAAAUUGGAAGAACAUUUAAUUUUCGAUCGACCACUUUAAAUCGGAUUGCAUCUGACCAUUUUUCAUCGCAAUGACAUAAAAACGAUGUCAUUUUGCAGCUAAAAGCCUAUCUUUAUUAGUGUGCGAAAAGUAAAUCUUUAAACUUAGUAUCUAUAAUAUACGAUAACAUGCUGAAAUUGUUUUACUUUUUUAUAUACACCCUGCACUAUACAUGUUGAAUGGUUUUCGAGAUUUCCAUCUAUAAAAAACCAUUCAACAUUUAAUAUCGACUGAGAUGCCUGAAAUCCUGAUAUUUCCCCAUAUACCUUACACUGGCAUCACGUAGUAUGUACUGUAUACAUGAACUUGUGGUUAAAACUCGACAAGUGGAUUCUGUAGCUCAGUUGGUUAGAGCGCUGCACCGGAAUCGCAGGGCCGCAGGUUUGAUUCCUGUCAGAGGGCCUAUAUAGUUGCAUUUUUUGCAGUUGCUCCUGGUUUGGUGUAUAAACGUAUAAAAUUUACACUCGAGAUUUCCAUCUACAACAACCCUUCAACAUUUAGUAUCGAGUGAGGUGUCCAAAAUCCUGUAUUAUAUGUACCUUUUUUCCUUCAUCAUGAUAUAGUCGUAAUCAAUGACUUGUCAGUUUUCUCAGUAAUUUUUGUAUGUACAUAUUCAAUUUAUUAUGAACAUGGCCGCCGAGAGGUUGAGCCUGGGUUGGGUUAAAACUUUCCAAGGGGGGCCCUAUGACGUCAUAGUUGUAAAAGGGGAGAAGCGUGUUUUACAAUAUAUCACACUUUAUUACAUAUUAU
Molecule: non-coding RNA, 1561 nt
Organism: Paramuricea clavata
Lineage: Eukaryota; Metazoa; Cnidaria; Anthozoa; Malacalcyonacea; Plexauridae
Source: the annotation of a GenBank genome assembly